Molecule: ribosomal RNA, 711 nt
Filed under: Bacillus sp. ET1s42
Lineage: Bacteria; Bacillati; Bacillota; Bacilli; Caryophanales; Bacillaceae
Description: bacterial SSU rRNA
Rfam family: Bacterial small subunit ribosomal RNA
Source: RNAcentral
GCCGUCAGCGGCGGACGGGUGAGUAACACGUGGGCAACCUGCCUGUAAGACUGGGAUAACUCCGGGAAACCGGGGCUAAUACCGGAUAAUUCUUUUCCUCACAUGAGGAAAAGCUGAAAGAUGGCAUCUCGCUAUCACUUACAGAUGGGCCCGCGGCGCAUUAGCUAGUUGGUGAGGUAACGGCUCACCAAGGCCACGAUGCGUAGCCGACCUGAGAGGGUGAUCGGCCACACUGGGACUGAGACACGGCCCAGACUCCUACGGGAGGCAGCAGUAGGGAAUCUUCCGCAAUGGACGAAAGUCUGACGGAGCAACGCCGCGUGAGUGAUGAAGGUUUUCGGAUCGUAAAACUCUGUUGUCAGGGAAGAACAAGUACCGGAGUAACUGCCGGUACCUUGACGGUACCUGACCAGAAAGCCACGGCUAACUACGUGCCAGCAGCCGCGGUAAUACGUAGGUGGCAAGCGUUGUCCGGAAUUAUUGGGCGUAAAGCGCGCGCAGGCGGUUCCUUAAGUCUGAUGUGAAAGCCCCCGGCUCAACCGGGGAGGGUCAUUGGAAACUGGGGAACUUGAGUGCAGAAGAGAAGAGUGGAAUUCCACGUGUAGCGGUGAAAUGCGUAGAGAUGUGGAGGAACACCAGUGGCGAAGGCGACUCUUUGGUCUGUAACUGACGCUGAGGCGCGAAAGCGUGGGGAGCAAACAGGAUUAGAUA